GUACACGCUGUGACUAGCAUAUCAAUAAGCGGAGGAAAAGAAACUAACAAGGAUUCCCCUAGUAACGGCGAGUGAAGCGGGAAGAGCUCAAAUUUGAAAUCUUCAAGGGUUUACCUUUACGAAUUGUAGUUUAAAGAAGUGUUUUCUGCUGAAGUUUUGGUAAAAGUUCUUUGGAAUAGGACAUCAUAGAGGGUGAGAAUCCCGUAUUUGACCAUUAUUUUCAGCUGUGUGAUACACUUUCAAAGAGUCGGAUUGUUUGGGAAUGCAGUCCAAAAUGGGUGGUAAAUUUCAUCUAAAGCUAAAUAUUGGCGAGAGACCGAUAGCGAACAAGUACCGUGAGGGAAAGAUGAAAAGAACUUUGAAAAGAGAGUUAAAUAGUACGUGAAAUUGUCAAAAGGGAAGCGUUUAACACCAGUGUUGUUUUCUGAAAAUCAACCUCUGUUAGCUUUAUGCAUGUUUGUUUAGACCUAAUCAGCUAUCUUGCAUGUUCUAUUAGUUUGCAGUGGUGCACUUUUCAGUUUACAGGUCAACAUCAGUUUUUUUUACCGUAAAAAAGUUAAAGAAAGGUAGCUCAUGGCUCCGGUCGUGAGUGUUAUAGUCUUUUUCCUAUACGGUAGGAGAGACUGAGGUCUGCAGUGUAGGCUAUUUGGCUAGAUACUCAGGUGCUAUGUGAUACCAUUUCAUAAACAACUUGUUGAUUAUGUUUUGUCUAUUGCAUACUCGCUUGUACUAUCAUACCUACGCUUAGGAUGUUGACGCAUGAGAUAUACGC
RNAcentral lists this ribosomal RNA (772 nucleotides) under uncultured Neocallimastigales. Its description in RNAcentral is "partial large subunit ribosomal RNA". The stretch from base 4 to 662 matches the Rfam family "Eukaryotic large subunit ribosomal RNA", at positions 24 to 664 of the family's 3401-position model. The record is from RNAcentral. Lineage: Eukaryota; Fungi; Neocallimastigomycota; Neocallimastigomycetes; Neocallimastigales.